Molecule: small RNA, 260 nt
Filed under: Macaca mulatta (Rhesus monkey)
Lineage: Eukaryota; Metazoa; Chordata; Mammalia; Primates; Cercopithecidae
Description: Metazoan signal recognition particle RNA (ENSMMUG00000052906.1)
Source: RNAcentral
GCCGGGCGAGGUGGCGGGCGCCUGUAGUCCCAGCUACUCGGGAGGCUGAGGCAGGAGAAUGGCGUGAACCCGGGAGGCGGAGCUUGCAGUGAGCUGAGAUCCGGCCACUGCACUCCAGCCUGGGCGACAGAGCGAGACUCCGUCUCAAAAAAAAAAAAAAAGACGGAGUCUCGCUCUGUAGCCCAGGCUGGGAUGCAGUGGUGUGAUCUCGGCUCACUACAACUUCCGCCUCCCAGGUUCAAGCAAUUCUCCUGCCUCAG